RNAcentral lists this long non-coding RNA (1155 nucleotides) under Phascolarctos cinereus (koala). Its description in RNAcentral is "lncRNA (ENSPCIG00000031143.1)". The record is from RNAcentral. Lineage: Eukaryota; Metazoa; Chordata; Mammalia; Diprotodontia; Phascolarctidae.
CCUCUCUCUUUCCUGUUUCUCUUUGUGUACUUCUCAACUGCAUGGGGUGGAGGAUUAGGCAGGGGAGGGGGAAGAGAAGGCACCUGCUUCUGAUAUUAGGUUAUCAGUAAUUUCACAAUAUAGGGAGCCUUUUAAAUAUUAAUGCAGAAUAGUAACUCAGCUGCAACCAGCCUUUUUCCCUGUUUCACAGUGUCUGGACAGCCAGUGGACAUCCUUAGAUCUCUGGGGAUUCUUCAGAGCAGGGUGGCAUGAUAGGUGAGUGCAGGGAUGAGAGGAGAGCCAAAAGAGAAGGGGCAAACUUGCUGCACUGCUUUCUCCCCUCAUUUCCUACACUCUUUUCCGCCCCCACCUCCCUGGGUUGCUAUGCAGUUUCUAUGGCAGCAGCAUCCUCAGACUCAACUUUCACCCAUCAUUUAGAGCCAAUUAAGGUAAAAUAGUGAAGGGGAGGGGGAAGAGGAGGACGGGAAGAUAAGGGGGAGUGUUGUAGGGGGGAAGAGGGAGGAGAAUCCAAUUUAAUGCUGCAAGUGAAGCGUUUACUCUGCCAAAGUCGCAUUACAGAUUCUAAAGCUGCAAUUAUAGCUCCUCUUUUUCUCUUUCCAAGCCUGAGCGGGAAGCAACAACUCUUCUCUCAGCUGUGGUAUUGGUGGGUAAAGGACACAUCACAGAAGCAGCCAUAUUGAAGACCCCUUGGGGGGGAAACCCCAACAUCCCAGAAGACCCUUCAAGACUUCAGCAAUUGACUACAUCUCUUCUGACUCACUCUCUCUCUCUCUCUCUCUCUCUCUCUCUCUCUCUCUCUCUCUCUCUCUCUCUCUCCCCCCUCCCCCUCCUUCUCUCUUUCUCUUUCUCUGUCUCUCUCUCCCAUUUCAUUUUUCCCUGUCUUUCAGUUCAUCUGACUCUUUUCUCCUCUUACAUCUCUUCCCUCCCUCUAUUUCUAUCUCUCAUUCACCAGAGAAGAAAAAUAGUAAAAAAUGCCAAUUGCCCAGUUAUUGGAACUAUGGAAAAAGAUCGAGGUGGAGCCCAUGGAAAUAGAGACCACUGAGGAGGAGGUCAACCUCGAUGCAGAAUCUGCAACAGAAGAGGCCACCAAAGAAGUAACUAUAUUUGCUUUCUAACAUUCUGGUAACCCGAGAGUAGGAGGUUGGAUUUUGCUAG